GACGAACGCUGGCGGCGUGCUUAACACAUGCGAAUCGAACGGAAAGGCCCUGCUUUUGUGGGGUGCUCGAGUGGCGAACGGGUGAGUAACACGUGAGUAACCUGCCCUUGACUUUGGGAUAACUUCAGGAAACUGGGGCUAAUACCGGAUAGGAGCUCCUGCUGCAUGGUGGGGGUUGGAAAGUUUCGGCGGUUGGGGAUGGACUCGCGGCUUAUCAGCUUGUUGGUGGGGUAGUGGCUUACCAAGGCUUUGACGGGUAGCCGGCCUGAGAGGGUGACCGGCCACAUUGGGACUGAGAUACGGCCCAGACUCCUACGGGAGGCAGCAGUGGGGAAUAUUGCACAAUGGGCGGAAGCCUGAUGCAGCAACGCCGCGUGCGGGAUGACGGCCUUCGGGUUGUAAACCGCUUUCGCCUGUGACGAAGCGUGAGUGACGGUAAUGGGUAAAGAAGCACCGGCUAACUACGUG
This 468-nucleotide ribosomal RNA is filed under the name uncultured bacterium. Its description in RNAcentral is "partial 16S ribosomal RNA". It matches the Rfam family "Bacterial small subunit ribosomal RNA", at positions 28 to 507 of the family's 1533-position model. The record is from RNAcentral.